AUUUACGCCAAACCGCCUGGUUCACGCCCGAUCUCGUUUGAUCUCGGAAGCUAAGAUAGGUUGGGCCUGGGUUAGUAGGAUGGGGAGACCGCCUGGGAAUACCAGGUGCUGUAAGCU
Molecule: ribosomal RNA, 117 nt
Filed under: Scophthalmus maximus (turbot)
Lineage: Eukaryota; Metazoa; Chordata; Actinopteri; Pleuronectiformes; Scophthalmidae
Source: RNAcentral